This 6089-nucleotide long non-coding RNA is filed under the name Pan troglodytes (chimpanzee). RNAcentral describes it as "long non-coding RNA NONPTRT010319". Lineage: Eukaryota; Metazoa; Chordata; Mammalia; Primates; Hominidae. The record is from RNAcentral.
ACUAGAUCCAAAAUUACUAUCAUUUUAACAGGUACUCAAAAUUAUUAAUGAGAUCUUUUACAUUCUUUUAGAAGUGUUUCAUAACGUCUCUGCAGCAGCCACAUUCCCCAUGCUCAGCAGCGGCUCACAGCCUGGAUGGCAGUGCGGUGUAGACAUUUGAGCUGUGGGCAGGACUCUUCCCGGUCCUCAUGGCUGAGCACACAGUGCCGGGCCAGGUGGUGCACACUGGGGGACCAUGGGCCGGGCUGGUCCUGGCUCUGCACUGUCCCUGUGACCCUCGGGAUGUUCCUCAGCAUCUUUUGGCGAUGGUUCCUUUCCUGUAGGAUGCGAGGCCGACAGCAUCUGCUGCUAGGAGUUGUGAGGACACGUGAGUUCAUUUCAGUUGGGUGCAGCGCUGGCCUAGUAAUCUCACUGACCCUUGGUCGCUCAGCCAGUGACUGUGCCCACCUGCCACCAUCAUAAGAUGGCGGACUUGGGGGUCAGGAGAGCCCUUCCAGGACUGCAGAAGCUGGUCCUUGGGGGUCUCGCAGCAGAUCCUGGGGGCGUUCCCAGUAUGGGUGCAAUGUACAUGGGGGGCUCAGGACGGGAGGCCCAUGCCAGCCCCUGGGCCUCCAGAGCUGGCAGAAGGCACAGCCCUGCAUGGCCAAGGGCGCUGGGCUGCGUGGAGAAUGUGCGGGUUCUGUUGUUUUGCCAGCUUUAGCAGUUUACCCAACCUAACAAAAAAAAAGGAUAUGCAACUGGGACAGCAUGUGGCCCACGAAGCCUCAAAUAUUGCCUCUGGCCCUUCACAGAACACGUGUUCUAGAAAGGAAAUCCUAUGCUCGUGGGCUAGGGGCUUGCUGGGUGGGGAGAGGGGUUCAAAACGUGGUUUGUCACUUCCUAUGAGGGUGAUCCGACAGGACUUCGUGGAGACGGUGGCGUUUAAGUGGCCUAAGAAGAACUGGAAGGAUUCAGAGGAGCGGAGGGACGUGGCCUGGUGGGCAGAAGUCAUGGCUGGGUGUCGCAGGCUCUGUGCAGCUCUGACAGCUGCAAUGCAGGCAGGCACCGCCCCCCCCCCCCCCAAUGCUUUACGGCCAUCGGGUCUGCAAGUUAUAAACUUGGUUACCCCCAGAACGUUGUUUAAACAGUACUGUGUUCUAGAACAUGCUGAGAUAGCAUUUAUGCAACUGAUGCCAAGGUGUGGAACAGGUUAGUCUGGCUUUUUCCUCAACAAUCCAGGAGGAGGACAGGGAGAAGGCAGCAUUGUUCCUGAGCGGGUGAGGCCAAUUUCAUCCUGAGUGAUAGUGACAGUAAUAACUGAUAAGAAAUGAAAUCACAGCUUUUCACACGCAGAGCCUGACUAAUGGCUGACCCUUCCUCCAUCUCUGGGUGCUCAUGCUGGAGAGCGAUGGGCCCUCCCUCCACUGCCGGGGGGGGACGUGCUGGAGAGUGACAGGCCCUACUUCCAAUCCUCGGUGUUUCUGCUGGAGAGCAAGGGGCCCUCCCUCCUCUCCUUGGUGCACGUGCUGGAGAGUGACGGGCCGGCAGUUCACGCCUCGUGCUCCUGCUGGAGAGCGAUGGGCCCUCCCUCCAAUCCUUGGUGCACAUGCUGGAGAGUGACAGGCCCGCAGUCCACUCCUGGUGCUCCUUCUGGAGUGACAGGCUCUCUCUCCACUCCGUGGUGCACGUGCUGGAGAGUGACGGGCCCGCAGUUCACUCCUGGUGCUCCUGCUGGAGUGACAGGCUCUCUCUCCACUCCGUGGUGCACGUGCUGGAGAGUGACGGGCCGGCAGUCCACUCCUCGUGCUCCUGCUGGAGAGCGACAGGCCCUCCCUCCAAUCCUUGGUGCUUCUGCUGGAGAGCGACAGGCUCUCCCUCCACUCCUCGGUGUGCGUGCUGGAGAGUGACAGGCCCUCCCUCCACUCCUCAUGCUCCUGCUGGAGAGCCGCAGGCCCUCCCUCCACUCGUGCUCCUGCUGGAGAGCGACAGGCCCUCCCUCCAGUCCUCGUGCUCCUGCUGGAGAGCGGCAGGCCCUCCCUCCGGUCUUCGGUGCGCGUGCUGGAGAGCGGCAGGAGCUCGGCCUUCUUAGGGUGUUUGGGACCCCAUCCAGCGUGGUUUUGCUUUAGUUCCCCGCCCAGGGAGAGGAGCUCGGCAAGCAGCACCGGGUUUAUUCUUGCUCAUUUAUUCAAAAGAAAGGUACUGAGUUUGAAAAUGCACCAAGCACUGGAGAGAAGAGAAAGGUGAGAGGACCUCGGGGCCUGCCUGUAAGAGGCUCAGGAUGUGGCUGGGGAUGAGGCCCAGUGGCACCUUCAACGCAGGAGAUGAGGGGGUCUGGAUCCCACCGUCAGAGCACGCACGCAACCUGUCCACUCCCUCAGGACUGCAGAAAAGGUCCAUUCUUGUAUUUCUUUUUAAGUUGAAUUAAAUCCAUCUCUAGCCCCUGCCUCUGAACUGAUGGAGUGUGGCUGUUAUUGGGCCGCCCUCACCCGCAAGGGGUGGAACCAGAGCUUGGGGCUGAGGCGCUCCUGGAGUGUUUAGCGCCUCUGCUGUCAGGACAUCCUGUGGCCACUGGCACGCUGUCUUCCCACACAGAGCCCCCGACCAGCAGCGGAGCCACCCACUCUCCACAGCCAGGGUUGGGAGCCCUGGGGCCCGAGUCCCCGGUCCCACGUGCCACACAAGGCAGGACAUUCUGGGUGCUGUCGCAUCCCCGGAAUCAGGGCCUGGACCCUGGUCAGAGCAGGACCUGCAGGUGACCCCGGGUGGGGCAGACUGUCUUCUGUCCUUGGUGGCAAAGCCGGUGUUCUCGGCGUCAUGUCUGCACACGUGUGCCUGAAGCCACGGGAACGCAGGGGCUACCUCCGGGCCUGGGCCUGGGCUGUGGAGCAGGAUCGGGGAGGACACACAGGUGGGCGUCUCAAGAACUGUGGUGUACACAGCUGAGCCCCUGCAGCUCUGCUUUGCCGGGCCUCACCCUCGGUGCUGGGUGCAAGACGUGACAAGAUGGCAUGGGAAGCUUCCCGGGGAACGCUGGAACUGGGUGUUUGAAGGAGGACCUCAUGGCGGCAGCUCCAGCCCAAGUACUGCAACUGUGGGGCCGUGCCAGGAGCAGGUGCUGCGGAGCCUGUGUGGGUCCAGGACAAGAGGUAAGGGGAGUAUGGACGGGGCUGCACUGUCCUGGGGUUGAGGGCAGGCUUCAGGGGGUAACACUGAAUAGGGACUAGGAAGGUGCAUGCCAGGGGGGGUCCAGGCAGAGACAAGUGGGGGCACAAUCCUCGAGGGGGCAUAGAAGAGGCCAGCAGUGUAAGGCAGGAUGGCGAUGCCCACGGGCUCCAACGCCUGCUGUGUAACUGGAAUUCUGUCUGUGGCCUCCGGCGUCUGACAUGCGUUCUCACACCUGCAGGAGCACCAGAAGCCCCUGGAGGGCCGUGCAGACGACACUGUCGGGCCGGCCCAGCCCAGGCCCCAGCAGUUAUGACUCCUCUGUGAUCAGAGGAUGUGGCUGAGGAUGUGCAUUUCCGUCAAGUUCCCAGGAGAACCUGGUGCUGCUGCUUCGGGGACCCCACUUUGAGGACCACUGAUCUAACACUGCCCCUCGUGGCAAACGCGGAAUGACUCAAGAUUCAGCUGGAUGGAUCAUUCAGGGAGCAAAUCCACCUUUGCCGCCUGGCACACCCUGGCCAUUCGGUAACGAUGCCAUCAGGGUUACUGGCUUCUUCAUUCUCCACUGUGCAUUCCAGGGUGGGCAUUUCCACAGUUGUGAGCCCAUCAUCAACUCAGCGAGUUCCCAUUUUCCAGUUAGAAAAUAAGCUUUCUGAUGGUUAGCCAUUCACUUCACUUGGCUCUAGAAAAGAUUUCAGGAAUGUAUAAUUUAUUUUUAACAUAAAGAAAAGCUAAGUGUAAACUAGAUAAGCUACAACAAUUGUCCCAGACAUUAUAGACACUCACAGCACCGUUUUCCUCUUCUAGCAAAACAAAACAAAAAAUUCUGCAAUCAUACAGGCAGUAGGAAAAAAAAUUAGCUGGACACCAUGGCUCACACCUGUAACCCCAGCACUUUGGGAGGCUGAGGUGGGAGGAUCACUUGAGGCCAGGAGUUAGGGACUGGCCUGGGCAACAUAGUGAGAUCCCAUCUUUAUAAAAAUAAUAAAAAUCUGGGCGUGGUGGAGCACACUUGUGGUCCUAGCUACUCAGGAGGCUGAGAGUGGGGAAUCGUUUGAUCCCAGGAGGUUGAGGCUGGAGUGAACCAUGUUUGCACCACUGCACUUCAGCCUGGAUGGAUGACAGAAUAAGAUCCUGUCUCAAAAAAAAAAAAAAAAAAAAACAGGAAGAAAUAAUCCGGGUAAGAAACGAGGCAAUGAUACUGUCACCUGGCCUGGCCUCAUGCCAGCAGCAUGGGGGUGGGGCUUGGGAGGGAGGGUGGAUUUAGGCUUACCAGCUUACUAGGGAACCUUGAUCUCUGUUUCUAAUUUGCCGGGCUCAUGUCUAGCUGGAGCCUGGGCACUGCUGUCUGCUUUCCUGCACAACUGGCUGGGGACAGCUCUGAGCCCUGGGCCUGUAAAGGACAGGCUCCAUAAUCCUCUGGCAAAUCCUGCAAGAUGUCUGCAGUGAGGUGCCAGGUUGGAGCAGAGGAAGAGCCUUACACUUCAUCCCUGAAGUCACAUUUGAAGGAAGACCCUCAAGGUGGAGGGCUUCUAAUUACAUCUUGAGCUUUCUGGGCUUAACAAUAGUUUCAGUUCUCUUUUUGAAGAGAAAGAUCUUGAAACCUCCUUGGUGUCCAACAGUCCUUUUGGCUGUCUCACCUCUUUUUUCUUUUAUUCUAAUGCAUAAUUAAUCUAGAUGUCAGCAAACGGGCUGAGACUGUCUGUCUGGUAGAUGCAGUGUUUGUAUGUUUCUACUCUAUUACAAAAAUUAACAGAAAUAUGGCUUCGCUUUGUGCAAAUGUUUACAUCACAGUCUGUAAAAUGAAUUAUAUUUAAAACUACCCACAAAGCUAGAUAUUUAGAGAACGCUUGUCAGAGUUCUUUCGUAAAGUGAAGACAUUUUCAGGUACUUUAAGUUCUUCAAAAGCAGGAAUAACUGUGUAAACGUGAAGGCAAAAGGCCUUUCAGGCAUGAGAGAACACAUGAAAACACGUGUCUGGCUUCAAAACCGCCCCCAGCCCCUGCCUGCCUGCGUUUUACGCGCUCUUCCUUUGCUUCAUUAUGCGUCGUGCUUCCUGUUCCACUCAGCUCACUGUCCACGUGGACGUAUAAACUAUGGGAGAAACAGUGAUGGCCUCUCCUCCACCACCAGGCUGGCAGGGGUCGUUUGGCUGGCAUCAGGCUGGAGGAGACUCGGAUGGGUAAGACCAACGCACUUAGUUUGGGUGUGUGGGGAGGGCAAGAGGAGCAUGAGCGGCGAUCUGUCUUCCCUGUUGUAAAUCCCCCUGUACGUGCAGGUGCAUGGCGAGAGGGUCUCCACACCUCCCAGCUUUUCUCUGAGGAUGUCCAGAAGGAACGAGCAAAGCAGGAUUGGCCUCCAGAACAGAGGCCCCGAGGCUGACUCCAGAUUUCCUGUGUCUACGACCUAUGUCCUCCCAGCACGCCUGCCCCUUGCGUUCAUGAACAGUGACCCAGCUGCAGGGACUGCGUGGCUGAACGCCGACCAACUGUGGGGCAGUCCUGGGCUGGGCCGUGGCUUGGGACCAAGAAGACACGCAGCAGACACCAGUGAAGCAGGAGUUUUAUUGAGUUCCUCCAUGUCACAUUAAUACAUUAGCUUCAUGACACAGUUUCAAAGACCCGGGUCCUUCUGACGUAGUGUGUUGGAGGCAGCUAGGCCAGCUUGAGGCACUGCGUGUUAAAGCUGUCCCCCUCCUUGCCGGCGACAGCCUCCAGCAGGGCCUGUUUCUUCUGCAUGCUCCGCGAGGACUCCAGCUCGUACAUGGUGGUCAGGUUGAAGAGCACGCUCUCGUGCAGGUAGUGCCUGGGGUCCUGCUGGACCAUGGCCUCCAGCUGCCGCAGGGAGUCCUUCAGCUUGCCCAGGUAGAGCAGACACACGGCAGCGUUGUUGUUGGCCUAGGGAGGAGCACACGCCCAGGGUCGGCCCACACAACCAGGACAGACGCC